AUGGGUUUCAUCAAUAAUUAUCUGGAAGAGCUUCAGAUUGCAUCGAACAAGAAGUCAGUAACCAGCGCGCCCCAGGCGAUGAAACAGCGGCAGUGAAGAUGGAUACCUACUACAGAUGGUUCAGCUAAAAUAAAUGUGGAUGGAGGCCUGUCAACUUUGGGAGAGAAAGGGGUGGCAGCAGCUAUAUGCAGAGAUGGUGCGGGUGUUUUCUUGUGUGCUUCAGCAGUGGUAAUGGUUGGAUUGACGGACCCAACGACCUUGGAAGCCCUAGCCUGCAGCGAAGCACUCGCAUUAGCUGAAGAUCUGAACCUCCAUAACCUGACCAUCACGUCGGACUGCUAUGAAGUGAUAAAGCACACUAGUCUUAAUUUUGAUUCCGUUAGUUUUUGUUUUGAGUUUAGAGAGUCCAACUUUGAAGCUCACUCGUUAGCGAAGGGAGCCUCAACUCUGUCUGUUGGACGCCAUGUGUGGCUGGGUGUUACGCCUGAUAUUGCUUGUAUCCCAAACUUUAUGAGCUUUGAAUAA
Molecule: ribosomal RNA, 525 nt
Filed under: Triticum aestivum (bread wheat)
Lineage: Eukaryota; Viridiplantae; Streptophyta; Magnoliopsida; Poales; Poaceae
Description: partial small subunit ribosomal RNA
Source: RNAcentral